GCAAGAGUGAUGCCUGUCAGAUGAUGGUGAGAUUCUUGCCAGGAUACUUGCCCAUCACUCAGCAUGAAUAGGAACUGUGAAGGUAGGAGGAUCCUGAGGCCCACAGGAGGGGAGUGGCAUAGAAAUAUUAUUAUUAUUAUUAUUAGCAUCAUCCUUCACUGGUGCAUGUGACUUGGCUAACUGGCUUGACUUGUUCACAGCUGUUGAUAGCUUGGCAGAUCCUCAGCUGUGGUCCCCAGAUUAUAUUUACUGUUGUGAAUAUCUGGUUGGUUACUAGGUUGAACAAUAUGGCCUUUCUGUGCCUCUAUUCUCUUAACUCUAAGGCUGUGUACACAUCACACCUUGAAGUCAUGGGGUCAUUCCAUUAAAUGUCAACCUACAGACUCAUCAUUCCCAAACAUGUUCUAGUUCAUUUUCAAGAGAAUUUCCCAAAGUUUCAAGAUCUUGUCACUGUGUGAAUUGGUUUUAACAGGUAGAAGAGUAUACGUUAAUGGAAAUUUAUCCCUCCAGAUACCCACAAAUGUGAGAUUAACAGAGGUUUAAAAUCCCCUCCUUGACAGCAAAACUGAAAGCUUAGGAAUUUGGCUGCAAAACCUUGUUUGUUUGUUUUUUAAAUGAUAUUUAUUGAAUUUUUUUUUUUAAAUUACAGAAAAAGACAAAGCAGAGAAAGAAAAGGAAAAAAAAAAAACAAGCCACAUCCAACAAUACAAAUUCAAAAAACAAAAAUACACCACAAACAGAUAAAAAUAAAACCAUCAUUCUCAAAUCUUCAA
Molecule: non-coding RNA, 773 nt
Organism: Podarcis lilfordi (Lilford's wall lizard)
Lineage: Eukaryota; Metazoa; Chordata; Lepidosauria; Squamata; Lacertidae
Source: the annotation of a GenBank genome assembly